AGUGAACGCUGGCGGUAGGCCUAACACAUGCAAGUCGAACGGCAGCACAGUAAGAGCUUGCUCUUACGGGUGGCGAGUGGCGGACGGGUGAGGAAUACAUCGGAAUCUACUUUUUCGUGGGGGAUAACGUAGGGAAACUUACGCUAAUACCGCAUACGACCUGCGGGUGAAAGCAGGGGAUCUUCGGACCUUGCGCGAUUGAAUGAGCCGAUGUCGGAUUAGCUAGUUGGCGGGGUAAAGGCCCACCAAGGCGACGAUCCGUAGCUGGUCUGAGAGGAUGAUCAGCCACACUGGAACUGAGACACGGUCCAGACUCCUACGGGAGACAGCAGUGGGGAAUAUUGGACAAUGGGCGCAAGCCUGAUCCAGCCAUACCGCGUGGGUGAAGAAGGCCUUCGGGUUGUAAAGCCCUUUUGUUGGGAAAGAAAAGCAGCAGGUUAAUACCCCGCUGUUCUGACGGUACCCAAAGAAUAAGCACCGGCUAACUUCGUG
Molecule: ribosomal RNA, 492 nt
Filed under: uncultured bacterium
Lineage: Bacteria
Description: partial 16S ribosomal RNA
Rfam family: Bacterial small subunit ribosomal RNA
Source: RNAcentral